UGAAACACGGACCAAGGAGUUUAUGUAUGUGCGAGUCAUUAAGUGAUCAAAACUUAUUGGCGUAAUGAAAGUAAAGUAUUCUUUAUGAAUAUGAUAUAUGAUUGUUUUACGUUUACGUAAAACAAGUAGUAUAGUCCCAUCUAAUUUGCUUGCAAAUGGGUGGAGAUAGAGCAUAUGCAAUGAGACCCGAAAGAUGGUGAACUAUGCCUGAGCAGGAUGAAGUCAGAGGAAACUCUGAUGGAAGUCCGAAGCGGUUCUGACGUGCAAAUCGAUCGUCUGACUUGGGUAUAGGGGCGAAAGACUAAUCGAACCAUCUAGUAGCUGGUUCCCUCCGAAGUUUCCCUUAGGAUAGCUUCAACUAAUUUAAAUAGUUAUACUCGGUAAAGCGAACGAUUAGAGGUCUUGGGAACGAAAUGUUCUCAACCUAUUCUCAUACUCUUAAUGGGUAUGAUGUAUAUGUUUCUUAAUUGAACAUGUGCAUUGAAUAUAAUAGUUGAAAGUGGGCCAUUU
Molecule: ribosomal RNA, 510 nt
Filed under: Panagrolaimus detritophagus
Lineage: Eukaryota; Metazoa; Nematoda; Chromadorea; Rhabditida; Panagrolaimidae
Description: eukaryotic LSU rRNA
Rfam family: Eukaryotic large subunit ribosomal RNA
Source: RNAcentral